CGUAGGGGGCAAGCGUUGUCCGGAUUUAUUGGGCGUAAAGGGCUCGCAGGUGGCUCGAGCAAGUCGUGCGUGAAAUCUCCCGGCUCAACUGGGAGCGGUCGUGCGAUACUGCUCAGCUCGAGGUCGGUAGGGGGAAGUGGAAUUCCGGGUGUAGUGGUGGAAUGCGUAGAUAUCCGGAGGAACACCAGUGGCGAAGGCGGCUUCCUGGACCGAUCCUGACACUCAUGAGCGAAAGCGUGGGGAGCGAUCCGGAUUAGAUACCCGGGUAGUCCACGCCGUAAACGAUGAGCACUAGGUGUCGGGGGUAUCGACCCCCCGGUGCCGUCGCUAACGCAAUAAGUGCUCCGCCUGGGGACUACGGCCGCAAGGCUA
This 372-nucleotide ribosomal RNA is filed under the name uncultured organism. RNAcentral's name for it is "bacterial SSU rRNA". It matches the Rfam family "Bacterial small subunit ribosomal RNA", at positions 526 to 896 of the family's 1533-position model. The record is from RNAcentral.